Vicia faba (fava bean) is the source of this 210-nucleotide non-coding RNA. The record is from the annotation of a GenBank genome assembly. Lineage: Eukaryota; Viridiplantae; Streptophyta; Magnoliopsida; Fabales; Fabaceae.
AUGCGCUUUGCUUGCACCGGUGUCACAUUUCCGACAUUCUCUCUUGUCGAUGCUAGAUUUUGGAGCUUUUGCGGAAGAUUUUGGAUAUUUUAUUGUAGAGUUUGCUGUAUACGGAUUUGUUUUAUCCAAUUGGUACACAUUCAGAUCACUAUUGUUGUAAAUAUUUCAUUUUAUCGCUUUUCAAGAGAUCAUGAGAAGCAGGAAACAUGA